This 659-nucleotide ribosomal RNA is filed under the name unidentified microorganism. RNAcentral's name for it is "bacterial SSU rRNA". It matches the Rfam family "Bacterial small subunit ribosomal RNA", at positions 53 to 692 of the family's 1533-position model. The record is from RNAcentral.
ACCUGCAGUCGAGCGAAUGNGAUUANGAGCUUGCUCUUAUGAAGUUAGCGGCGGACGGGUGAGUAACACGUGGGUAACCUGCCCAUAAGACUGGGAUAACUCCGGGAAACCGGGGCUAAUACCGGAUAACAUUUUGAACYGCAUGGUUCGAAAUUGAAAGGCGGCUUCGGCUGUCACUUAUGGAUGGACCCGCGUCGCAUUAGCUAGUUGGUGAGGUAACGGCUCACCAAGGCAACGAUGCGUAGCCGACCUGAGAGGGUGAUCGGCCACACUGGGACUGAGACACGGCCCAGACUCCUACGGGAGGCAGCAGUAGGGAAUCUUCCGCAAUGGACGAAAGUCUGACGGAGCAACGCCGCGUGAGUGAUGAAGGCUUUCGGGUCGUAAAACUCUGUUGUUAGGGAAGAACAAGUGCUAGUUGAAUAAGCUGGCACCUUGACGGUACCUAACCAGAAAGCCACGGCUAACUACGUGCCAGCAGCCGCGGUAAUACGUAGGUGGCAAGCGUUAUCCGGAAUUAUUGGGCGUAAAGCGCGCGCAGGUGGUUUCUUAAGUCUGAUGUGAAAGCCCACGGCUCAACCGUGGAGGGUCAUUGGAAACUGGGAGACUUGAGUGCAGAAGAGGAAAGUGGAAUUCCAUGUGUAGCGGUGAAAUGCGUA